Molecule: long non-coding RNA, 405 nt
Filed under: Lepidothrix coronata (blue-crowned manakin)
Lineage: Eukaryota; Metazoa; Chordata; Aves; Passeriformes; Pipridae
Description: lncRNA (ENSLCOG00000006600.1)
Source: RNAcentral
CGGAUCCGUGCGCCGAGGGGUUGCUAAGGGUGAAAGUUUGCCGUGAGUUGGCUCACUCGGGGCCAGGGCGCGGGCGGCUGCGGGGACAGCGCACCGCCAGCACUACCGCAGCACCGGGCCCGCCCCGCGCCGCCGGGGACAAGGCAGGGAGGGGACGGACGGGACGGGGCAGAGCAGAGACCCGACGGCAGCGCCCACGGCCCCCGCGACAGCCGCCAGCAGUCGCCGGCCCUGGAGCCGAGGACGAAUGCAGUAGAAAGAGAUUGAGGGAAUCCUGCUGGAGCACAUCUUACUCUGUCAACAACCUGAAGAGCCACUGACUUUUUGUGCCUUCAGCAGGUCUAUUUGGAGCCAAAUCUUGUCUAUGUUCCUGUCACUUUGUCACUUUUAAUACACUGCCCUGAC